AGUGAACGCUGGCGGCAGGCCUAACACAUGCAAGUCGAGCGGCAGCGCGGGGGCAACCCUGGCGGCGAGCGGCGGACGGGUGAGGAAUUCGUCGGAAUCUGCCUUUUUGUGGGGGAUAACGUAGGGAAACUUACGCUAAUACCGCAUACGUCCUACGGGAGAACGUGGGGGACCGCAAGGCCUCACGCAGAAAGAUGAGCCGACGACCGAUUAGCUAGUUGGUGGGGUAAAGGCCCACCAAGGCGACGAUCGGUAGCUGGUCUGAGAGGAUGAUCAGCCACACUGGGACUGAGACACGGCCCAGACUCCUACGGGAGGCAGCAGUGGGGAAUAUUGGACAAUGGGCGCAAGCCUGAUCCAGCCAUGCCGCGUGUGUGAAGAAGGCCUUCGGGUUGUAAAGCACUUUUGUCCGGAAAGAAAUCCCUGGAGCUAAUACCUUCGGGGGAUGACGGUACCGGAAGAAUAAGCACCGGCUAACUUCGUG
Molecule: ribosomal RNA, 484 nt
Filed under: uncultured bacterium
Lineage: Bacteria
Description: partial 16S ribosomal RNA
Rfam family: Bacterial small subunit ribosomal RNA
Source: RNAcentral